Molecule: ribosomal RNA, 403 nt
Filed under: uncultured bacterium
Lineage: Bacteria
Description: bacterial SSU rRNA
Rfam family: Bacterial small subunit ribosomal RNA
Source: RNAcentral
GGGGAAUAUUGCGCAAUGGGGGAAACCCUGACGCAGCAAUACCGCGUGAGUGAAGAAGGUUUUCGGAUCGUAAAGCUCUGUUAUUGGGGAAGAAAAAAAGACGGUACCCAAGAAGAAAGUCCCGGCUAACUACGUGCCAGCAGCCGCGGUAAUACGUAGGGGACAAGCGUUGUCCGGAUUUACUGGGCGUAAAGGGCACGCAGGCGGUCUGUCGCGUCUGCUGUGAAAACCCGAGGCUCAACCUCGGGCCUGCAGUGGGUACGGGCAGACUAGAGUGCGGUAGGGGAGAUUGGAAUUCCUGGUGUAGCGGUGGAAUGCGCAGAUAUCAGGAGGAACACCGAUGGCGAAGGCAGAUCUCUGGGCCGUAACUGACGCUGAGGAGCGAAAGGGUGGGGAGCAAACA